GCACCCACAGCAUAUGGAGGUUCCCAGGCUAGGGGUCUAAUUGGAGCUGCAGCUGCAGGCCUACACCACAGCCAUAGCAAUACCAGAACUGAGCUGCGUCUGCAAACUACACUGCAGCUCAUGGCAAUGCUAGAUCCUUAAUCCACUGAGUGAGGCCAGGGAUUGAACUCACAUCUUCAUGGAUACUGGGUUCAUUACUGCUGAGCCACAGUGGGAACUCCAGAAACUUGAAACUUUCCCCUCACCCUCUAUCCUCCAGAAGAGGGAGCGGGAGUGGAAACUGGGUUAAUGGUUGAUCUUGCAUGUGUCAUAUAAGCUCCAUAAAAACUCCAGAAGUACCAGCUUCAGAGAGCUCCCAGGUCAGGUUGGUAGAAGUGCUUGGAGAGUGGUUUGCCCCUUCCCAUGCAUCUUGCCCUAUGUAUCUCUGCAUCUGUCUGUAUCCUUUAUUAUGUCCUUUGUAAUAAACUGGCAAACAAAGGUGUUCCCCUAAAUUCUGUGAUCCACUUUAGCAAAUUAUUGAAUCCAAGUAAGGGUUUAUGGGGAUGCUGAUAUAUAGCCUGCCCAUCAGAAGGGCAAGUGACCACCUGGGACUUGUGGCUGGUGUCUGAAGUGGGGACAGUCUUGUGGAACUGAGUCCUUAACCUGUGGGGUCUGAUGCUAACUCCAGGUAGAUGGUGUCAGAAUCGGAUUAAAUUUUAAGACACCCAGCUGGUGUUGCAGAGAAUUGCUUGAUGUGCGGAAAACCUAUACAUCUGGUGUCAGAAAUAUUGUAUGUGAGUAAAGAAACACAGGUGUGAUUUUCCUAGAAAGAGGGGAAGGUUCCAAAGAAGAGAAUGACUGUGGGACUGGGGUUUACAGAAAAGGAUGGGAUUUACAUGACUGAGGUCAGAAAGCUCUUCCUCUGAGCCUACACGACCGAAAUGAGGGUGAAGAUAAAGGGCAGUAAAGUUACAUUAUCAGAAGCCAAGUCCUCCAAAGAGUACAGAAAAACCUGUUAAUCAAGCAACACUAAAGGAAGGAUAUUUAUGGGGCUUGGGGAUUUGGGUUCAAGUGGUUUAAGGCCAUUCUAAGGGGGAGUCUGAUUAGAACUGGGCAGAAUUCAUGACAUAAUAGUUUAGUGUUGGUGGAUGCAGCAAGGUGAAGGGCAAGUCUUGGGUAAGUAAACAGUUAUUUGACAAGUGAACUGUUGCCUGAGUAAAUAGUCUAUUGUCUUGAGAAGAAAGCUGUUUGACAGAUGAACAAUUUAUUUGCUCAGACAAAAGCAAAUGUGAAAGUUAUUUAUUGGUUUACAGCGUUUUCUUCCUAGACAGGAAUUUCCUGGAAAGAAUACUGCUGUAUUGACAGAGAUGGUCUUAGGCUCAGUCCUGACCCUUAAGCUCUGUUGAUGCCAUAGCCUGCACGCUCAACAUUGAGGGCCUCCUUAAGAGUGAACAUGGGAGUUCCCCUGUGGCUCAGUGGGUUAAGAACCCAUCUAGUAUCCAUGAGGACUCAGAUUGAAUCCCUGGCCUCGCUCAGUGGGUUAAGGAUCCUGCAUUGCCAUGAACUGUGGCAUAGGUCAGCAGGUGCAGCUCUAAUUCAACACCUGGCCGGGGAACUUCCAUAUGCUGCAAGUGCAGCCUUGAAAGGAAAAAAAAAAAAGAGUGAGCAUGAACUAGAAACUUUUCCAAAUUUUGCUGGGCAUUAAAAUCAUCCAAAGACCUUCCAAAAAAAUAUUGAUGCCUGGUUUCCACCCCCAAACAUUGAUUUAGUUGCUAUGGGGUGCAACUUGGGCACCAGGACUUUUAAAUGCCCCACAGGUGAUUCUAAAACAAAAUGUUUGGGAACCACUUCUCUAGAGUUAAAAGAGAAAGUCAGCAUGAAAUAACCCUUUGGUUAUUUAUAACCCAUAAAAGAUUGAUAAGCCACAAUCAGUGAUUACUGAGCUUUGAUUCAGAGUGUAUAAUUGAGCUUUGGGAUUUUUGUCAAAUAGGUGAAAAGAAUAUCUCAGAAUAGUUUUAAUUCACAUUUCUCUGAGAAUGAGUGUAUCUUUAUAUAUUUAAAAGCUAUCAGUAGUUCCUUUUCUGUCAACCAUCCCCUCAUAUCCUUUCAUGCAAAUAUCAAGUUUCUUGUAGCAAAUCCUUUUCCUUCCUUUAAAAAUGUAAAUAGAGUUCCCAUCAUGGCUCAGCUGAAAUGAAUCUGACUAGCAUUCAUGAGGACACAGGUUCAAUCCCUGGCCUUGUUCAGUGGGUUAAGGAUCCAGCGUUGCCAUCAGCUGUGGUGUAGGUCUCAGACACAGCUUGGAUCUGGCAUUAUUGUGGCUGUGGUGUAGGUUGGUGGCUACAACUCCGAUUCAACCCCUAGCCUGGGAACCUCCAUAUGUUGCACAUGUGGUCCUUAAAAAAAAAAAAAAAGUUCAGAAGACAGGCACAAAUUUCAAAAAAAAAUCAAAAUGGAAAUGGUUUUAUUGUUAUUUCUGAUUAUUAAAAUGAUUAGAAUUAUGUUUUCAUGGUACAAAAAUUUAAAUAAAAUGUAAAGGGACAAAAUUAUUACUUGGAGUUCCCUUGUGGCUCAGUAGGUUAAGGAUCCAGCAUUUUCACUGCAGUGGCAUGUUUUUUAAAAAAAAAAAAAACAUGAUUCAUUCAACAAAUAUUUUUGCGGUAUGAGUAUUACAAAGGUCAUACUAUGUAUACCAUUUUGUAACUUGUUUUUUUUCAUUUAAAGAUGGAUCAUGGAAAGAUUGUUCUUAGCCUUAUGUGCAGAUAGUUGAGUCAACAAAGUAUAAAAUGUAAUUCAGCAAGCAGUAAUGGAGCUUCUCUCAUCCCCUCCAGGCUGCUGUGUCUGUCUAUUCUGAUAAAGAUGCCAGUUGAACCAGUGACAGGGAUUGACAGAGCAAUAUUACCAAGUUGGGUGGACUCUACCUCUUUGUUCAGCUACAGCAAG
Molecule: long non-coding RNA, 2919 nt
Filed under: Sus scrofa (pig)
Lineage: Eukaryota; Metazoa; Chordata; Mammalia; Artiodactyla; Suidae
Description: lncRNA (ENSSSCG00065044500.1)
Source: RNAcentral